Molecule: long non-coding RNA, 1166 nt
Organism: Mauremys reevesii (Reeves's turtle)
Lineage: Eukaryota; Metazoa; Chordata; Testudines; Geoemydidae
Exons: 3
Source: RefSeq, a predicted model, not a curated record
CUGGAUUAUAAUGUGGCAGGCUGGUCUCAGGGCCACUCUGAUGCCAAGAACACAAGACUUCAAAAGCUGAAUCUUCGGGAACAGAAAAUGUUAGUUUGCUUAUACUGACAACAGCAACCACGGGAUGAGGAGACAGAGGAAACAUCCAAGGUGAGAGUGACAUCCAGCUCAGAAAAAUUCCUCCCACUCCCACUCUGUGAAGUGGAAAUUGAGCCUGAGUGGCAGCUGACAAGAAUGAAUUACUGGUUGGAGAAAGCUAAUCCUGCUGCCUUAUUUUGUGGUGCCUCAAGAGACCAAGAACUGGAAGAAAAAAACAGAAUGCUCAUCUGCAUCCUAGUCCUUCUGGUACUUUUAGUUGCAAUCCUUCUGGUCGUUUUAGGAGCACUUCUAAUGUCGCUUUCUAGGAACCAGGAAGACAUUUCAAGGCUUGCAGUCGAAAGAGGCAACUUAAUGGAAGAAAACUUACUGUUAACACAGCAAUUAGCUAAUGUUACCCAAGAAAAUCAAAGGUUGAGACAUCAAAAUUCAGUCUUGAGAGAAUCAGAAGUUGGACUGCAUCGUGAAAAUUAUGCUUUAAGAGCACAGCUGGAAAAAAUAGCACCAGGAAUUAACAAUCAAAAUAAUUUAAAUUAAAAAGUAAGGAAUGGUUAAAGUGGCUUUCAGUAGAUCUGUUCCUAAAAUGAAAAAAAUUGUUAGUCUACUAGAUUCUGAAGAAUCUCUCUACAACAGGGGUGGGCAAACUACGGCAUGUGGGCUUAAACCAUUUUAAGUCAGCCCUCAAGGGGAGCAGAGUCUGGGGCUUGCCCUGCACCGGCGCUCCAGCCAGGGAGCAGGGUCGAGGGCCACUCCCUGCUGUUUCCGAAGGCAGUGGCAUGGCUCCACUCUGGCUCCUAUGUGUAGGGACAGCCCAGGAGUACCGCUGUGCACACUGCCUCCACCUCAAGCGCCACCCCUGAAGCUCCAGGGGCAGCAACUGCAGACGGGGCAGCACACAGAGCCGCCUGGCCACAGCUCCAUGGAGGAGCUGGAGUGGGGACAUGGCCGCUGCUUCCGGGAGCCGCUGGAGGUAAGCGCCACCCUGAGCCUCUCCGAGCCCGAACCCCCUGCCCCAGCCCUGCUCCCCAUCCCACCCUCCAAACCCCUUGGUCCCAGCCCAGAGCCGCCUC